UCCCUGUUAGCUCAGUCGGUAGAGCGUUCGGCUUUUAAACGCCUUUAUGGGCAAGAAGUCGACCGAACGGUCGGGGGUUCGAGCCCCCCAUAGGGAG
This is a non-coding RNA of Brettanomyces bruxellensis, 97 nucleotides long. The record is from the annotation of a RefSeq genome assembly. NCBI's taxonomy places the organism in Eukaryota, Fungi, Ascomycota, Pichiomycetes, Pichiales, Pichiaceae.